This 475-nucleotide ribosomal RNA is filed under the name uncultured bacterium. RNAcentral describes it as "bacterial SSU rRNA". It matches the Rfam family "Bacterial small subunit ribosomal RNA", at positions 49 to 518 of the family's 1533-position model. The record is from RNAcentral.
UAACACAUGCAAGUCAGGGGCAGCACAAGGAGCAAUCUGAGGUGGCGACCGGCGGCACGGGUGAGUAACACGUAUGCAACCUGCCUGUAAGCGGGGAAUAACCCGUUGAAAGACGGACUAAUACCGCAUAAUACUAAAUUACUGCAUGGUAAUUUAUUUAAACAUUUAUGGCUUACAGAUGGGCAUGCGCAUGAUUAGCUAGUUGGAGAGGUAACGGCUCCCCAAGGCAACGAUCAUUAGGGGUUCUGAGAGGAAGGUCCCCCCACACUGGUACUGAGACACGGACCAGACUCCUACGGGAGGCAGCAGUGAGGAAUAUUGGUCAAUGGACGAGAGUCUGAACCAGCCAAGUCGCGUGCAGGAAGAAUGUCCUAUGGAUUGUAAACUGCUUUUGCAGGGGAAUAAAGUGCAUCACGUGUGAUGUUUUGUAUGUACUCUGCGAAUAAGGAUCGGCUAACUCCGUGCCAGCCGCCGC